AGAGUUUGAUCCUGGCUCAGAACGAACGCUGGCGGCGUGCCUGAGACAUGCAAGUCGUGGGAGAAAGUCGGAGCAAUCCGGCUAGUAAACCGGCGCACGGGUGAGUAACACGUGGACAACCUGCCCUGGAGACUGGGAUAACCCGUCGAAAGACGGACUAAUACCGGAUAAGACCACGAGGGGUUCGCCCCUUGAGGUAAAAGGUGGCCUCUGCUCCUGCAAGCUAUUACUCCAAGAAGGGUCCGCGCCCUAUCAGCUAGUUGGUGAGGUGACGGCUCACCAAGGCAAAGACGGGUAGCUGGUCUGAGAGGAUGGUCAGCCACACUGGGACUGAGACACGGCCCAGAGUCCUACGGGAUGCAGCAGUCAGGAAUAUUGCGCAAUGGAGGAAACUCUGACGCAGCGACGCCGCGUGGGUGAUGAAGGCCUUCGGGUCGUAAAGCCCUGUCGGAGGGGAAGAAAAGCCUGUUGGCUAAUAUCCAGCGGGCCUUUGACGGUACCCCCAAAGGAAGCACCGGCUAACUCCGUGCCAGCAGCCGCGGUAAU
This 546-nucleotide ribosomal RNA is filed under the name uncultured soil bacterium. RNAcentral describes it as "bacterial SSU rRNA". It matches the Rfam family "Bacterial small subunit ribosomal RNA", at positions 8 to 524 of the family's 1533-position model. The record is from RNAcentral.